CUCUAUUUCAGUCAGGUUCGCUGGGGUGCCAGCCACGGAGGCGGGAGCCUGGGAGGACGCGGGGAAAUGGACUCAGUGGCUUUUGAGGAUGUAGCUGUGAACUUCACCCAUGAGGAGUGGGCUCUGCUGGACGAUUCUCAGAAGGAACUGUACCGAGAUGUGAUGCAGGAAACCGUCCAUAACCUGGCUUCUGUUGGGGAAAAUUGGGAAGACCAGAGCAUUAGGGAUCAGUGCAAAGCUCAGGGAAGAAGCCUAAG
This is an RNA transcript of Mus caroli (Ryukyu mouse), 257 nucleotides long. RefSeq lists it as uncharacterized. The record is from RefSeq and is a predicted model, not a curated record. Lineage: Eukaryota; Metazoa; Chordata; Mammalia; Rodentia; Muridae.